This 466-nucleotide small RNA is filed under the name Pan troglodytes (chimpanzee). Its description in RNAcentral is "processed transcript". Lineage: Eukaryota; Metazoa; Chordata; Mammalia; Primates; Hominidae. The record is from RNAcentral.
AAGUUGGGGAGGAAGGCGAGACGGCGAGGAGCGGAGGGGCUGUGGGAGCAGCUCGUUCCGGAGCCGCCGCCUCUCUCCCGCCUCCUCCGCAUCCAUCCUUCCAGGAGCGCGGAGGGAAUGCAGAGAGCAACCAAUGUCACCUACCAAGCCCAUCAUGUCAGCAGGAACAAGAGAGGUCAGGUGGUGGGGACCAGAGGUGGCUUUCGUGGUUGCACAGUUUGGCUAACAGGCUUGUCUGGAGCGGGAAAGACUACUGUGAGCAUGGCCUUGGAGGAGUACCUGGUUUGUCAUGGUAUUCCAUGCUACACUCUGGAUGGUGACAAUAUUCGUCAAGGUCUCAAUAAAAAUCUUGGCUUUAGUCCUGAAGACAGAGAAGAGAAUGUUCGACGCAUCGCAGAAGUUGCUAAACUGUUUGCAGAUGCUGGCUUAGUGUGCAUCACAAGUUUCAUAUCACCUUACACUCAGG